RNAcentral lists this ribosomal RNA (253 nucleotides) under uncultured bacterium. RNAcentral's name for it is "partial 16S ribosomal RNA". It matches the Rfam family "Bacterial small subunit ribosomal RNA", at positions 524 to 776 of the family's 1533-position model. The record is from RNAcentral.
GACAGAGGGUGCAAACGUUGUUCGGAAUUACUGGGCGUAAAGCGCGUGUAGGCGGCUAAGUAAGUCGGGCGUGAAAUCCCACGGCUCAACCGUGGAAGUGCACUCGAAACUGCAUAGCUAGAGUCCUGGAGAGGAAGGUGGAAUGCUUGGUGUAGAGGUGAAAUUCGUAGAUAUCAAGCGGAACACCGGUGGCGAAGGCGGCCUUCUGGACAGUGACUGACGCUGAUGCGCGAAAGCCAGGGGAGCAAACGGG